GGGCACUCGGGCCGGGUCCCGCGGGCGCCUUGUGCUCGCUCCCUCCAGGAGGGGACGGCUCUCGGGCAGGGGUCGCCGGCCCCUCCACGCGGCCUGCGUUCGUCCAGACUCAGAGCCUCGGGACGUGCGGGGGCCCGGGGGCCUCGCGGGCUCGCGCGUGGGGCUGGCGGCGCGGAUGCCCUGGGGCGCUGCAGACCCCGAGAGGCCGCUUGCCCGCGGGGACGUCAGCCGCUUUUGCUGUUAAAAUCUGAAAUGUUCAGCAAGUUAGAAACUUGAAACCUAAGGAAGCGUGACCGGCCGCUCUGGAAGCCCCCGCCGCGCGGCCGGUCCCGGCCCCGGCCCUCAGCGGCGCUGGCGUCUGCGCGUCCCGGGGCUGCCCCCGCAGCAUGUGGGGCUGGGACCCUCUUCCCGCGCGGGCCCCGGGCGGACGCUGCGGGCGGUGACGGAGCCAGGCCGGCCGCCUGGGUAGGGGACGGGGGCGCGGGACCACUUGCUUGCCCGUGGCCGAUGCCUCAUCCGAACGGAAAACGUUUUCUUCAGGGGAGACAGAGGCUGUGGGCGAAGGUAUUUUUUAAGCCUGAGGACCCAUUUGGGAGUUAGAUUCUGGAUCGAGCCUAGGGUCAGUUUUCCUUGUGUUAAAUAACACUACUUCACAGAAGGGGGAACGAGAAUUCAGGGGAGUUGGCACAAAACUUGGAACCCUUCUCGGGAGGCUUUCCUGCCUGGACGGACGCCUGGGAGGAGGGCCCGGAGAAACGAGGAUGAGCUUCUCCUCAUUCGCCCGAGGGUCUGACCACAGAUUUCCCAAUCGCCACACACACACACACACACACACACACACACACACACACACGGGUUGUUUGGGAGUCAGUUGGUUUUCAAAGGCUUUCAAGGAAAUGAAGAGUCCCAAAGUUUUCCUUAAUCGUUCAGAGUGUUUUUCUUUGUCCCAGGUUUAUAUACCAAGAAUACGGGGGAAUAUUUUUAGUUCCUUUCAGCUGAACAGUGUACAACUGCCUUUUUUCCUUUUGGAGGUCCCAACACCCUGUUAAUCCGCUCCUAGGAGAACUAAACAAAAACAAGGCUGGACGUCGUGUCUCCCGCCUGUAAUCCCAGUGCUUUGGGAGGCUGAGGCAGGAGGAUCAGUUGAGCUCAGGAGUUUGAGACCGGCUUGGUUAACAUAGCAAGACCUCACCUCUAUAAAAUACUUUUAAAAUAGCCAGGUGUGGUGGCACACGCCUGUGGGGCCGGCUACUUGGGAGCCUGAGGUGGGAGGAUGGCGUGAGCCUGGGAGGUUGAGGCUGCAGUGAGCUGUCAUUGCACCACUGCACUCCAGCCUGAGCAAGAGAACAAGGCCCUGUCUCAAAAAAGAACAAAGAUAAAAGGCGGGGUGGGGGAGAAACCAGGCCCCUGAUCACACUCACCAUUCAGUCCCUCAGCCUGUGACUUGAAAUACUGCCCCCCGCAUCCAGGAAGCAGGCUUCCCCACCCCUCCCACCCUAGCCAGAGUCUUCCAAAAGGUCUUAGGUAUUUGCAAACACCUGGCUGGCUGUUUGGAAACAUUGCAUCAGCACCAAAUAAAAACUGCAGCCAAAACUGCCUCCGCAGAACAGGUCCCCAAACUCAGGUGCACUUGACCUUUCACCCUGACCCAGCCCUGAGCUUCCAAAACCCAGAACAGCCCUGUGCCAACCAUGGCCAUCCUGUUUUCCCUUCCCUGGGCCCGUGGGCAAGGAGCUCGCUCUGCAGAGAAAGGCAGGAAGCACAGAGGAAAAGGCCAAGCUUGGAACGGCUGUCCCGUCUCCCCACUGGGGGAACCCCUGGCACCCUCAUAACUAAGUCUGUGCUUCAACCUGGUCUCUGUUACCCAAUGUCUUUUGUUGUUGUUUGUGUCCUUGACCCCCCGAGGCUGUAUUUCCUCUCAGAAGCUUUGAUUUCUUUUCUGUUUUCUGGUCUUCCGUGCCUUUAACACGAGGAAAAAUAAAACACAUGGUGUGAGUGUAAGGAUGGUACAAGCAAAUGAUUGGAGAAGCUCCUCACUGAACAUAAUGGAAGGAAUGCUCCCAAAGUCUGCAGGAACGGUACUUUAUUAUUAUGGUUUGCAUAUUAUUACAGAUUUGUGGAAAACGGCAAGUCAGUUUUCCUUUCCACAUGGACUUUCUUCAGCUUGUCUUAUGAUUGCCGUGUUUCUGGAGUUCAUCUUGUUUUUUAGGCCUUAAGACUGGAAACCCCAACAGGAAAUGGGUCCAUUUAUUAUUCAUAGUUGUAACGCUGGCCACUGGCAUGUCACAAAACUCUCAAAAUCAAUUGAUAAACACAGAGAAUGGAGCGUGGGGCAGCAUUUUUGCAAAGGGAUGGGUGCCCAGCUGGCCCCAGUGCCGCCCUCUGUGAGGAAGGAAUCUCCCAGUGCAGCCAGGAGUCAGACGAGUUCCUCUUCCCGACCCUACCCUCCCAUCUUCGACGCCUAAGGCCCUUCCCUGUCUUCCUGGCUUUGCUUCAGGUGGUUUUGUACUUUUUAAAUUUUGUUUUGGUUUGUUUAGGCUUCAGCCUAGCGGCUUUAGGUGCCAGAAAAUCAGAUUAACCACUGCAGCGGCAUCCUUCUCAGGGACCCGGGGGCCACGUUGGUCAUUUUGCCCCAUUGUAUCUGGAGAGCUUGACAGACAGACAUGUGUGCACUAGGUCAGGAAGCCACGGCCCUGGCCUGGGAAGAGGGCAGGUAGGAGAAAAGCCCCCAGCCCCCUCCACCCUCAGGGAAUGGCCCAGUUGUCCACAGGUUAAGUCAAGAAUCCCCCGCGAACAGGUCAAACCAGAGACUGCCCAGUCCCAGCGUCCGCCCCCAGGGCAUUGCUUCCUUCACCUCCUACACUUGGCUCCCUGUGGUUCCGUGGCUGCCACAGUUGUGUGGAUCCUACCGGGCCCAGGGCCCCUCCCCAUCUCAGACAGCACCCACUUUCAGGCUAGGCCUUCCACGGGCUGCUUAAAUGGACCACGAAGGCCGGCAAAGCAGCAGAAACGUGCCUGUUCACGGGCCAGUCGGCCCUCCCCGCUCCAGCCCUCUAGGGUUUCUGGUUCCGGUUUCUGUCGCUGCCGUUAGUGAGGAAUUAUUCAUGUGGCCAAUGCGUUUUCUUGACAUUUAAGCAGGGCUGUGGCCGAUAUCAAGGCUGAGGACCCAAGAGGCCUUUGGGUGUCUGUGUCCCUGAGCCAUAUGCUGAGGUCGGACGGCGGGGGAGGGGGGUGCAGGAAGGGGCCAGCCCCAGCGAGAGUCAGCCAGGCCCCAAACAGAGCCAGGGGUUCCCCCGGGGGGGAGUGCUCACUUAGGAAGAGCACCAUGGACAGCCUGGCAGGAGGUCACCCUGUGCUGAGCAGGCAGCGCUGGAGUAAACCACCUGCCUCUCUGUAGGAAGAAGGAAACCGCAUCCGCAAACGGAGCAAAGGUCCCCAGAGGCAGAGCAGAAGCCUCUGGGAUGCUGCAGCUUUGUGCAGACACUGGGGACCAGGACUGGAGCAGGUGCUGGCCGUGCUCUUUAUCCUGGGCACUCUGCCAGGGCCACACGGAGCGUGGCUCCCGGGAGAUGGAGACGUCUGAGUGUCAGCUCAGGUCUCGGUGUUUCCAGGUGACAUGCUGGCUGCUAGUGUAGAGCAUGGUAAACCAUCUUUUUUUUUUUUGGUUACUAUUUACUUAUGCAAAAUAAUGUGAGUUUCUGCCAUUUGCAACAAGUGUGCCAGCUGCAAUGAGUCAGCGGGUGGACACAGGUGAGCAUGGCCAGACUGUGCCAGAACAUGGUGACAGACAGACAUGCUUCGAAGUUCACUGUGGGAAGGGACAGGUCCCCAGAGAGAGGUGAGACGGUGCAACGCGAGGGUGAGUUCGGAGUCAUCCUCCAGAUGUCCACAAAGGCUCGAGAGGCCCUGCUGUGUGUCAGGCACUGCGUGAAGGUUGUGGGCACAGUAGGAGGGACACAAGACACCUUCUCUCGAGGACCGUUGGUUCCAGUUGCGGAGACAGUAACAGCAUAAGAUGAUGAGUAAGAAAAGAAUGCUGGCAGGAAAGUGGCCAUGGAGGGAACUGCUUCCGGGCCUCUCCGUGGGAUUUGCCAGGCGUGGACUGAGCGAGGACCUUCCCUGAGAACACCAACUGCUCCAGGAGAGAGAAGAGGUGGAGCCCCGGCGGGGGGCAUGGGGCAGGAGGCAGCCACCCACACCUUCCCUCUCUGAAUGCUGAGCAGAGGCUCUCAGCAGAGGGGAAGAAGAGCAGAGGCCACGAUUGGGAAGACAGACCCAGUGGGGGUCCUUGGCGCCGUCCACAUCCAUCUGCAACCUGCUGCCCAGCGCCUGCCUGCCCGGGGUGUGCACAGAGCAGUGUGGUCUGUCCCGGCUUCACGGCCUGACACGGCCAGGCGAGGAUGACAGGGAAAGGGAGGCAGGGACUUGGGGCUGUUGGAGCCAAGCUGAGGAGCAAGGAGCUGCGAUGGGAAGCGGGUGGCAGGAAGGAGCGUGAGGCCUGUGGGUGGAAGGUCUCUGGCCUUGGAGAUUGAAGCGUUUCACUUGUGCAUCUCACAGCCCAGAGAAGCCAAGCCCGGACCAUGGGGGAGAGAGGAGGACCCCCGUCUCAGGGCGGGCUGAGGAGACGCUCUCUCCACGGCUUCCGGAUGGGUCUCCCUCCAUCUCAGCUGCAUCUAUGGGAAAACGAUGAAAUGCUCCCUCCACUGCCGGGCCUUCUCUUAUAAAGCAGGUUUCUUCGAAGUAUAAAAAUUAAUAGAAAAGGUUCCAUAGAAAAUCAAGAAAGUAAGUAUGUAAAGAUGAAAACAAAAAGCACCGGAAAUGCUCUUCAUAGCUGACGUUUUCUUAUUCACUUUUUAUUAAAACAGGAUGAGGCGUCCUGCCUUUUCCAGCCUUAUCUAGGAAGUGUCUUGCCAGGUCACCAAAUGGCAAGCAGAACCGUAAGCUGAAGUUGUCUGCCUAGAAUUCCACUGUGGCAAUGUUCAGCAUCCCGACUGGACAGCUCCGUGCGGCGGCAUCGGGGGCGCGGCGGCAUCGGGGGCGCGGCAGCAUCGGGGGCCCUUUUCAUGCCAUUCAAGGCCCCGUGGAAACAGACACCACAGCUCAGCAUGAGACUGUGGCCCCACCUGACCUGGCUCAUCCAUCCCCAGCCUCUCGUGGUCCCCGGCCCUAUGCCGACAUUUGGCACUCGAUGAGCCAUUUCUCCACAUUUCAGGAGCCUUGUUUUAAGACAGCCUGGCUGUCUGAGAGCCACCGGAGUCGAGACUGGAUGCCCGGCCUGGUGCCCGUGGGCCAGCACCGCCUGAGGAGGAGGGGUCUCUGGAGGCCACAGGCAGAGCCACUGAGAGGGAUCUUUAAGCAGAGGGCCCCACACACCUCCUGGGACCCACGGGUGUGGCUGCCAUGCAGGGUCUGGGAGCUACAGAGAGUCGGGAACCAAGGGCGCGGUGGCUCACACCUGUAAUCCCAGCACUUUGGGAGGCCAAGGAUCACGAGGUCAGGAGAUCGAGACCAUCCUGGCUCAUACGGUGAAACCCCAUCUCCACUAAAAAUACAAAAAAUUAGCCGGGCGUGGUGGCGGGCGCCUGUGGUCCUAGCUACUCGGGAGGCUGAGGCAGGAGAAUGGAGUGAACCCGGGAGGCAGAGGUUGCAGUGAACCCAGAUUGCCCACUGCACUCCAGCCUGGGCAACAGAGCGAGACUCCGUCUCAAAAAAAAAAAAAAAGAAAGAAAAAAAGUAAAAACAAGAGAGUAGGGAGCCAAGUCCCUGGGUUGCCAAGUCAAUCCGUGGAAGCCCCUGACUUCGAGCAGGACACAGGGCCCUAAGGACAGCCCCAGCCCCUGCAGUGUGGCCUGCAAUGGGUGUCAUUCAUUUUGACCUGGCUGUUGUGGUUUUGGGUGGUAUUGUUAUUUGUUUGAAAAGAAAACACAUGGGCUGCGUAUGGCAUGAGCAAGUACAGACGUCAUUGGGAUCGGCUAAUGAAAAUGACAGAGUACUCUAAAGUGACACCUUACAGGGACGUGGUGAUGUGGCACCAGGCCCAGUGGCACCAGCACACCACCGUCUCGCUGGCAUUUCCACCGUGGUCCCUGUUAAACCAGAAAGAACGAAAGUGUGAUGGGGAAAAAUAAGUAUGUGUUUCUUGUAAAACACAGCUCAUUUCAAAACUACUGAGAACAAGGGGACAGUUUGAAAUUGGGCAGAGCCCCUUGGGACCAGCUGGACCAGGAAGAAGGUCCAAUCAGCUCUUCCUCAGGGCCAGGAAUCUCUCGGUCACUCCGAGGCCUGGAAGAAAGUUUCCAGAACCUUUUUUUGCACAAAUAAACUGCAGAUCUGAAAUCAGCAAGAAGGUUCAGGACCUGGGCCCCCAGGAUUGGAACCACGGGAGUCUCAGAUCCUCAAACUAGCUGGGUUUGCUUCAGUUUUCUCAGGUGGGACGGGCCACCCUGGGUUUCCCAGGGUGAUGUCCCAACAGUGGAGGUGAGAUGUCACAGAAUGGAGGAUGUGAUAUGAUCUGUAACAUGGAAUCCAGCAGAAGCUCCAGCACUUAAAAGACAGGAAGCAGUGGAGGGCCUGGGUGUCCCAGCCUUCAUCAUUCCCUCACCUGGAGCAGUUGGUGUCCUCAGGGAAGGUUCUCAUUCAGUCCAUGCCUGGCAGAUCCCAUGGAGGUGCCCGGGUGAUUCUGGCACAAGGGCUGGAAGAUUCCUUCUUUGAUCCCUGCUGGUGGCCGGAGCUGGCUCACAGGCCUGGGGCUGCUCAGCUGCAGGACAGUGGGAGGAGGUGGGCUCUGGGUUCCUCAACCCGGCUCACAGCCCUGCUCCGACUGUCCCUGCUGGGCACCCCUGGCGGUGAUAUCAUCAGCCUGGGCCUCCGUUUCUUUUUUCUUUUUUUUCUUUUUCCUGAGACGGAGUCUUGCUCUGUCUCCCAGGCUGGAGUGCAGUGGCACAAUCUUGGCUCGCUGCAACCUCCACCUCCCAGGUUCAAGUGAUUCUCCUGUCUCAGCUUCCCGAGUAGCUGGGACUACAGGCAUGCACCACCACGCCCAGCUAAUUUUUGUAUUUUUAGUAGAGACGGAGUUUCACCAUGUUGGCCAGGCUGGUCUUGAACUCCUAACUUCAGGUGAUCCGCCCACCUUGGCCUCCCAAAGUGCUGGGAUGACAGGCGUGAGCCACUGCGCCUGCCCUCCAUUUCUUUAUGAACAGUGUGUGGUCCCAGCAUCCUGAAGUUGGUGUGAGGUGCAGGUGGGACGGCUUUGGGGCAGGCCCCAGUGCAGACGGCCCUGCUGCUGCCCCUGCCCGUGCCGCUGCCCCUGCCCCUGCUGCUGCCCCUGCCCCUGCCCCUGCCCCUGCCGCUGCCUCUGCCCCUGCCCCUGCUGCUGCCCCUGCCCCUGCUGCUGCCUCUGCCCCUGCGUUCCUGAGCAGGCCACCAUGCUACUCUUUGGGAGUCCUUUUUCUUCUUUUUAAAUGAGGCUUGAUUGGCUUAGGGAGAAACAGGAGACACCGCAUACCAUGCAGUUAAAAAUGAAACUCGGAUUAAAUGAAUAUUGAAUUCAGUACUGUACUGGCUUCCUAGAGCUGCUGAAAUGCAAACUGGGGGCUUAAAACCACGGAGACGUAUUCCCCCACAGUUCUGGGAAGUAGAAGCUCGAAUGCCUGUUGGCAGGGCUGAGCUCCUCUGCAGGCUGUGGGGAAGGACCUGUCCCAUGCCUCUCCUGGCUCCUGGUGGCCGCUGGUAAGCCUUGGUGUCCUGUGGCUUGUAGACACAUCUCUCCAAGUGCUGCCUCUGCCUCCAUCUCCGCGUCUUCCUGCCGCCUCCUUAUAACGACGGCAGCCAUUGGAAUGGGGGCCCACCAAAAUCCAGUCUGACUUUGUCUUCAUUUAACUGAUGAUAUCUUUAAAGAUCCUGUUUCCAAAUAAGGUCACAUUCUGAGCAUCCAGGGGAUGCGAGUUUUGGGGAGACUCGAUUCCACCAACACCAGCAUCGAAGAGGGCAGGGCACAGAGAUGAAGCUAAGGUCCAGGGCGCACACACUGAUGGGCACCCUUGAAAUAACGGCAAGGUCCACAAAACCACGGUGAGAUGCCACCGCACACCCAUUGGGAUGGCUACCAUCAAAACACAACAGAAAAUUACAAGUGUCUGCAAGGAAGUGGAGAAGCCGGAGCCCUUGUGCACUGCUGACGGGAAUGUGAAUGGUGCAGUCGCUGUAGGAAAUGGUCGAUGAAUGGAGACACAGAAUGUUCCACAAAAUGGAAUAUUACUCAGCCUUAAAAAGGAAGGAAGUUCUGAGACAUGCUACAACACAAAGGAACCAGGAGGACAUCAUGCUGCGUGAACGAAGCUGGUCCCAAGAGGACAAAUGCCGUAUGGUUCCACGUGCACAAGGUCCCUGGAGUACUCAAAUCCACAGAGGCAGAAAGUAGAGUGGGAGGUGCUGGGGCUGGGGGAGUGAGUGUUUAAUGGGUUCAGAGUUUCAGUUUGGGAAGAGGGAAAAGUUUGGAGGUGGAUGGUGGUGAUGGUUACACAGCAGUGUCAAUGAACUUAACGUCACCAAACUGUGUGCUUUCAGAUGGUUAAAAUAGUAAAUUUUAUGUUAUGUGUAUUUUACUGCAAUAAAAAAAUGUUAAGCCAGGUCCCAUAGUUCAGCAAGAACCAAAAGGGCCACAGGACCUCCCAGUAGCUCCCUGCCCCGUCCUUAGAAACCUGAGCCCCCUCUGGCACGGAGGGAGGCCUGGCACAAGAGGCUGGCAGUGGGGUGGGCCUUGGCAGCCCACCUGCAGCCUGGCCUGGGCUCCACAUCUGCGAGGACUACACCGGGUGCUCCCAGGAGCUCCGAGUUCUCAAGAGACACCUCAGCUUUCUCAUCCCCAAAACCUCCUUCUCUCCAUUCGGAGCGUCUCCCCUGAACCCGACAUGCUUCCCCAGUGGGAACUAUGCUCUCCCCUGCCC
Molecule: long non-coding RNA, 8945 nt
Filed under: Homo sapiens (human)
Lineage: Eukaryota; Metazoa; Chordata; Mammalia; Primates; Hominidae
Description: non-protein coding LINC00319:12
Source: RNAcentral